Molecule: non-coding RNA, 46 nt
Filed under: Palpitomonas bilix
Lineage: Eukaryota
Source: RNAcentral
GAUUGAAAGUUGAAAAUGGAAAAAAGGAAAAAUGGAAAAAUUGGGG